RNAcentral lists this ribosomal RNA (332 nucleotides) under uncultured Bacillota bacterium. RNAcentral's name for it is "bacterial SSU rRNA". It matches the Rfam family "Bacterial small subunit ribosomal RNA", at positions 28 to 351 of the family's 1533-position model. Lineage: Bacteria; Bacillati; Bacillota. The record is from RNAcentral.
GACGAACGCUGGCGGCGUGCCUAAUACAUGCAAGUCGAGCGGAACCUUUGGAGCUUGCUCCAUUGGUUUAGCGGCGGACGGGUGAGUAACACGUGGGCAACCUGCCCUGCAGAUCGGGAUAACUCCGGGAAACCGGUGCUAAUACCGAAUAGUUUGCGGCCUCUCCUGAGGCUGCACGGAAAGACGGUUUCGGCUGUCACUGCAGGAUGGGCCCGCGGCGCAUUAGCUAGUUGGUGGGGUAAUGGCCCACCAAGGCGACGAUGCGUAGCCGACCUGAGAGGUGAUCGGCCACACUGGGACUGAGACACGGCCCAGACACCUACGGGUGGCAG